GGAUUGUGGCUCAGUGGUAGAGUGCUUGCCUAGCAUGUGUGAGGCACUGGGUUCAAUUCUCAGCACCA
Molecule: transfer RNA, 68 nt
Filed under: Marmota monax (woodchuck)
Lineage: Eukaryota; Metazoa; Chordata; Mammalia; Rodentia; Sciuridae
Description: tRNA.Ala
Rfam family: tRNA (bases 5-65)
About the family: Transfer RNA (tRNA) molecules are approximately 80 nucleotides in length. Their secondary structure includes four short double-helical elements and three loops (D, anti-codon, and T loops).
Source: RNAcentral